Molecule: ribosomal RNA, 492 nt
Filed under: uncultured bacterium
Lineage: Bacteria
Description: bacterial SSU rRNA
Rfam family: Bacterial small subunit ribosomal RNA
Source: RNAcentral
GACGCUGGCGGCGUGCCUAAUACAUGCAAGUCGAACGAGGUAGCAAUACCGAGUGGCGAACGGGUGAGUAACACGUAGGUAACCUGCCCUUAAGCUUGGGAUACCCAGAGGAAACUUUGGCUAAUACCGGAUAACAACAGAGAAGGCAUCUUCUUUGCUUGAAAGGCCCCUUCAAGGGUCACUUAAGGAUGGACCUGCGGCGCAUUAGCUAGUUGGUGAGAUAACAGCCCACCAAGGCGAGGAUGCGUAGCCGAACUGAGAGGUUGAUCGGCCGCAUUGGAACUGAGACACGGUCCAAACUCCUACGGGAGGCAGCAGUAAGGAGUUUUCGGCAAUGGGGGAAACCCUGACCGAGCAACGCCGCGUGAGCGAUGACGGCCCUAUGGGUUUAGUAAAGCUCUGUUGUAAGCCAUGAAUGAUAGCUUGAGGAAAUGCAAGCUAUUUGACGACAGCUUACCAGAAAGCCACGGCUAACUACGUGCCAGCCGCCGC